GGGGGAAUAGCUCAGUGGUAGAGCGCUGGAUUCCAGUCCCAGCGGUCGGGGGUUCGAUCCCCUCUUUCCUCA
RNAcentral lists this transfer RNA (72 nucleotides) under Phytophthora infestans (potato late blight agent). Its description in RNAcentral is "tRNA-Trp". It matches the Rfam family "tRNA". Rfam says of the family: Transfer RNA (tRNA) molecules are approximately 80 nucleotides in length. The record is from RNAcentral. Lineage: Eukaryota; Oomycota; Peronosporomycetes; Peronosporales; Peronosporaceae.